RNAcentral lists this small RNA (165 nucleotides) under uncultured Lachnospira sp. Its description in RNAcentral is "Clostridiales-1 RNA". It matches the Rfam family "Clostridiales-1 RNA". Lineage: Bacteria; Bacillati; Bacillota; Clostridia; Lachnospirales; Lachnospiraceae. The record is from RNAcentral.
AUACCAGAGUUAAAAGGUCCAAACCCACAUGAGCUCGCUUAUAGGUAGGUUUAGACCUUGGAACCCACCUACGAUAUGAACAUGAAAGUUGGAUGAUAAUCCCACGAUAUGUGAAUAUUGGGGGGGAUUGUGGAAGUGCGUAGCACGGAACAAUUCGUAGGUAUC